This 2901-nucleotide ribosomal RNA is filed under the name Escherichia coli 08BKT77219. RNAcentral's name for it is "bacterial LSU rRNA". It matches the Rfam family "Bacterial large subunit ribosomal RNA". The record is from RNAcentral. Lineage: Bacteria; Pseudomonadati; Pseudomonadota; Gammaproteobacteria; Enterobacterales; Enterobacteriaceae.
UAAGCGACUAAGCGUACACGGUGGAUGCCCUGGCAGUCAGAGGCGAUGAAGGACGUGCUAAUCUGCGAUAAGCGUCGGUAAGGUGAUAUGAACCGUUAUAACCGGCGAUUUCCGAAUGGGGAAACCCAGUGUGAUUCGUCACACUAUCAUUAACUGAAUCCAUAGGUUAAUGAGGCGAACCGGGGGAACUGAAACAUCUAAGUACCCCGAGGAAAAGAAAUCAACCGAGAUUCCCCCAGUAGCGGCGAGCGAACGGGGAGGAGCCCAGAGCCUGAAUCAGUGUGUGUGUUAGUGGAAGCGUCUGGAAAGGCGCGCGAUACAGGGUGACAGCCCCGUACACAAAAAUGCACAUGCUGUGAGCUCGAUGAGUAGGGCGGGACACGUGGUAUCCUGUCUGAAUAUGGGGGGACCAUCCUCCAAGGCUAAAUACUCCUGACUGACCGAUAGUGAACCAGUACCGUGAGGGAAAGGCGAAAAGAACCCCGGCGAGGGGAGUGAAAAAGAACCUGAAACCGUGUACGUACAAGCAGUGGGAGCACAGAGCAAUCUGUGUGACUGCGUACCUUUUGUAUAAUGGGUCAGCGACUUAUAUUCUGUAGCAAGGUUAACCGAAUAGGGGAGCCGAAGGGAAACCGAGUCUUAACCGGGCGUUAAGUUGCAGGGUAUAGACCCGAAACCCGGUGAUCUAGCCAUGGGCAGGUUGAAGGUUGGGUAACACUAACUGGAGGACCGAACCGACUAAUGUUGAAAAAUUAGCGGAUGACUUGUGGCUGGGGGUGAAAGGCCAAUCAAACCGGGAGAUAGCUGGUUCUCCCCGAAAGCUAUUUAGGUAGCGCCUCGUGAAUUCAUCUCCGGGGGUAGAGCACUGUUUCGGCAAGGGGGUCAUCCCGACUUACCAACCCGAUGCAAACUGCGAAUACCGGAGAAUGUUAUCACGGGAGACACACGGCGGGUGCUAACGUCCGUCGUGAAGAGGGAAACAACCCAGACCGCCAGCUAAGGUCCCAAAGUCAUGGUUAAGUGGGAAACGAUGUGGGAAGGCCCAGACAGCCAGGAUGUUGGCUUAGAAGCAGCCAUCAUUUAAAGAAAGCGUAAUAGCUCACUGGUCGAGUCGGCCUGCGCGGAAGAUGUAACGGGGCUAAACCAUGCACCGAAGCUGCGGCAGCGACACUGUGUGUUGUUGGGUAGGGGAGCGUUCUGUAAGCCUGUGAAGGUGUACUGUGAGGUAUGCUGGAGGUAUCAGAAGUGCGAAUGCUGACAUAAGUAACGAUAAAGCGGGUGAAAAGCCCGCUCGCCGGAAGACCAAGGGUUCCUGUCCAACGUUAAUCGGGGCAGGGUGAGUCGACCCCUAAGGCGAGGCCGAAAGGCGUAGUCGAUGGGAAACAGGUUAAUAUUCCUGUACUUGGUGUUACUGCGAAGGGGGGACGGAGAAGGCUAUGUUGGCCGGGCGACGGUUGUCCCGGUUUAAGCGUGUAGGCUGGUUUUCCAGGCAAAUCCGGAAAAUCAAGGCUGAGGCGUGAUGACGAGGCACUACGGUGCUGAAGCAACAAAUGCCCUGCUUCCAGGAAAAGCCUCUAAGCAUCAGGUAACAUCAAAUCGUACCCCAAACCGACACAGGUGGUCAGGUAGAGAAUACCAAGGCGCUUGAGAGAACUCGGGUGAAGGAACUAGGCAAAAUGGUGCCGUAACUUCGGGAGAAGGCACGCUGAUAUGUAGGUGAAGUCCCUCGCGGAUGGAGCUGAAAUCAGUCGAAGAUACCAGCUGGCUGCAACUGUUUAUUAAAAACACAGCACUGUGCAAACACGAAAGUGGACGUAUACGGUGUGACGCCUGCCCGGUGCCGGAAGGUUAAUUGAUGGGGUCAGCGCAAGCGAAGCUCUUGAUCGAAGCCCCGGUAAACGGCGGCCGUAACUAUAACGGUCCUAAGGUAGCGAAAUUCCUUGUCGGGUAAGUUCCGACCUGCACGAAUGGCGUAAUGAUGGCCAGGCUGUCUCCACCCGAGACUCAGUGAAAUUGAACUCGCUGUGAAGAUGCAGUGUACCCGCGGCAAGACGGAAAGACCCCGUGAACCUUUACUAUAGCUUGACACUGAACAUUGAGCCUUGAUGUGUAGGAUAGGUGGGAGGCUUUGAAGUGUGGACGCCAGUCUGCAUGGAGCCGACCUUGAAAUACCACCCUUUAAUGUUUGAUGUUCUAACGUGGACCCGUGAUCCGGGUUGCGGACAGUGUCUGGUGGGUAGUUUGACUGGGGCGGUCUCCUCCUAAAGAGUAACGGAGGAGCACGAAGGUUGGCUAAUCCUGGUCGGACAUCAGGAGGUUAGUGCAAUGGCAUAAGCCAGCUUGACUGCGAGCGUGACGGCGCGAGCAGGUGCGAAAGCAGGUCAUAGUGAUCCGGUGGUUCUGAAUGGAAGGGCCAUCGCUCAACGGAUAAAAGGUACUCCGGGGAUAACAGGCUGAUACCGCCCAAGAGUUCAUAUCGACGGCGGUGUUUGGCACCUCGAUGUCGGCUCAUCACAUCCUGGGGCUGAAGUAGGUCCCAAGGGUAUGGCUGUUCGCCAUUUAAAGUGGUACGCGAGCUGGGUUUAGAACGUCGUGAGACAGUUCGGUCCCUAUCUGCCGUGGGCGCUGGAGAACUGAGGGGGGCUGCUCCUAGUACGAGAGGACCGGAGUGGACGCAUCACUGGUGUUCGGGUUGUCAUGCCAAUGGCACUGCCCGGUAGCUAAAUGCGGAAGAGAUAAGUGCUGAAAGCAUCUAAGCACGAAACUUGCCCCGAGAUGAGUUCUCCCUGACCCUUUAAGGGUCCUGAAGGAACGUUGAAGACGACGACGUUGAUAGGCCGGGUGUGUAAGCGCAGCGAUGCGUUGAGCUAACCGGUACUAAUGAACCGUGAGGCUUAACCU